UGGGCGUAAGCCUGAACCAGCCAAGUCGCGUGAGGGAUGAAGGUUUAUGGAUCGUAAACCUCUUUUAUAAGGGAAUAAGUGCGGGACGUGUCCCGUUUUGUAUGUACCUUAUGAAUAAGGAUCGGCUAACUCCGUGCCAGCAGCCGCGGUAAUACGGAGGAUCCGAGCGUUAUCCGGAUUUAUUGGGUUUAAAGGGUGCGUAGGCGGCCUUUUAAGUCAGCGGUGAAAGUCUGUGGCUCAACCAUAGAAUUGCCGUUGAAACUGGGGGGCUUGAGUAUGUUUGAGGCAGGCGGAAUGCGUGGUG
This 304-nucleotide ribosomal RNA is filed under the name uncultured bacterium. RNAcentral's name for it is "bacterial SSU rRNA". It matches the Rfam family "Bacterial small subunit ribosomal RNA", at positions 372 to 675 of the family's 1533-position model. The record is from RNAcentral.